GGGGGACUGCGUUUCGGUUUCGGUUUCUCUUUGCUUCUUGCUGUACAGACUACCACCGGCUGGCUGGUUCGCUCUAUAAAAAAUACAUCAAGAACACACUGAAGAAAUGGUUCAGUGCUUACGAGCUUGCUGGUCCUCCAGAGAACCCAAGUUAUAGUAUCAGCACGGCAAUCAGUGGCUCACAAUUGCCUCUAACUCCAGCUCCAGAGGAUGGAUCUUCUGGCCUCUGAAGGUCCUGGACGUCACAAAUACAUUGCAAUCAUAUACUUGCCAAUGACAUGGACAUAGAAAUGAAACUGUCUGGAAAGAAAAGGGAACUGAUGGGAGGGAGAGGGGCAGAAAGGGGCAGGUAGUGGGGGAUAUGGAGGAUAUGCUCAAAGCGCUUUAUGUAAUGGAGUAAAAAUGGCCUUGUGAAACC
Molecule: long non-coding RNA, 418 nt
Filed under: Cricetulus griseus (Chinese hamster)
Lineage: Eukaryota; Metazoa; Chordata; Mammalia; Rodentia; Cricetidae
Description: lncRNA (ENSCGRG00015032815.1)
Source: RNAcentral